Molecule: ribosomal RNA, 419 nt
Filed under: Artemia urmiana
Lineage: Eukaryota; Metazoa; Arthropoda; Branchiopoda; Anostraca; Artemiidae
Description: partial small subunit ribosomal RNA
Source: RNAcentral
UUCAACAGGGGUGAAAUCUGUAUACACCAUGAAUUUUUUGAUUAAAGUACCUUUUAGGUGGUCAAAUGACUAGGAUUAGAUACCCUAUUAGUCCACUCUUAAUUAACCUGGGUAGUAGUAUCGAAACCUAAAGAAUUUGGCGGUUUCUAAACCUACUAGAGGAACCUGCCCCAUAAACGACAAUCCACGAAAAAAUUCACCCGGGCUAGUUAUGCAGCUUAUAUACCGUCGUUCAGAGGACUAAAUAAAUAGAUCCUCUUAAAAGCUUAGGCUAAUAAAUCAGAUAAAGGUGUAGCUUAUGCCCGGGAGAGGGUGGGUUACAAUGAAAAUUCAUACGGAACUUCUAUUUUAUGAUAGAAAAGAAGGUGGAUUUAGAAGUAAGACUUAAUAUACUGAAAAGGGCUCUCAGAAAUGUACAC